Molecule: long non-coding RNA, 508 nt
Organism: Peromyscus maniculatus bairdii (prairie deer mouse)
Lineage: Eukaryota; Metazoa; Chordata; Mammalia; Rodentia; Cricetidae
Source: RefSeq, a predicted model, not a curated record
GAGAGGAAGGAAGAAGACAGAGCAGGGGAGACACUGCCAGCCGCCACCAGAAGAAGCAGCUAUCUAAUUUGGCUUCAAGCCCUGUCGGGAGGGAAUUCAUACCUUGUCGUGUAAAUAUAGAUGACUACCUGGGGAGACCAUGCAAGAAGAAUCUGCAACUGCCACUUUCCUAAACAACUGUAAUGCCUGACUGUAUUCUAAAUACUUAUACUGACACACCUGGGUUGGAUAUUCAGCCACAUUCUAUUGCAAUCCUUCCUUUACCCAUUCAUGGAGAAACAGCCAAUGCAUUCCCAGUUCCACGGAGCUACAUGGGGAGAAGGCUGGAUGCCUGAAUCCUGGGAGUCUGGAGAAAAAGCUACCAGAAGAGGAUGCCCACCUGACAGACAACAUAGAUGGAAAGUAAAUGGCUUCUGUCCAAAACCACGGAAAUUAAGAAGUUUGCUUUUUUCUGAGGCAUUCUCUAGCUCCCUUCUAUCCAAUAAAGCAGCCCAGAUAAUGUAAUUUA